UUAUAAAUAUACAUAGUAGCCUAAAUUAUAUUGUAUAAAAUUUCAUUGAGCUUUGGCAAGCAUGCGAUAUUACAAAUUUUUAAUAAUUCCGGUCGUGCGACAUUCGGGUAUGAGUAACGAGAACGGAUUCGGCUUUUUAUCCGGUCAAGGACUGUCAACUAGGCACCAGGAAUAAAUUCUUCCAGUACAACAACUAAUAAUUUAUGAUAUUAUGCAUCAGUGAUAUAUAAAUUUAAUCAUUAAACUUAUUGCGUCUCUUACCGAAAUUGCCUAAUUAAAAAGGCAACAAAAGUCGUUUCUUCCAUCCACAUAAUAGAUUUUUUUUAUAUGUAAUUUGAAUUGAGUACAUCAUGCUUGACUAUAUAUACCCAAAAGUCACAUUUGUUUUACAGUGAACGUAAUCAUUCUCGAGAUAAGUACAAUAAGUAUUACAAGCACUUUUGUUUUGUCACUUCUGACCGCUAUUGAAUAUCUUAUUUUCUUUUCUUAAGUACCUGAAAUUUUCAUUCAGAUAUAUAAUUUCUACAUAUCUAUGUUGGUUUUUAACCCUGCUGUUAGGUUAAAAAAAACUUACGAAUCUUAGGUUAGAGGACCAUUUGGUCCAUACUGCAGUUUUCAUACAAAAUAACAAUUUAAUCUUAGUCUUUAUAUUUAGUUUGGUUCAAUACUUGCUAAAUAUUAUUAUUUUAUUAUUUAUUCAACACUAGUAAAAUAAAAACUAGGCGUUUUGCAUGUUACAAAGAAAAAAAAAUUGGACCAAAUGGUCCUUAACCAUUACGCUGGCUAGGUCGUGUUGUCCGGAUGGACGAAAACACUCCAGGUCUGAAAGUAUUCAGAGCAGUAACCGCCGGGGGAAGCAGAGGAAGAGGAAGACCUCGACUCCGUUGGAAGGACCAAGUGGAGAAGGACCUGGCUUCGCUUGGAAUAUCCAAUUGGCGCCACGUAGCGAAAAGAAGAAACGACUGGCGCGCGGUUGUUAACUCAGCUAUAAUCGCGUAAGCGGUGUCUACUCCAAUUAAGAAGAAGAAGAAAAUAUCAUUCAGUAAAUUGGUAGGGCUUAUAAAUGUUUAAAGUGAACUAGUGACGACAGCCGGAACGGACCCGGACAACAAAAUAGUAAAUAAUUCGACUAUUUUGUUGUUGUAGUGGAAUAAAACAUUCCUGAAGUAGUUUCGAGGCAUGAGGCCGAGUUGCCAGUCCUUGGUUGGUUAAAAAUACGGGUCCGUUCCGGUUACUAUGAAGAAACAAGAUUUGGUAUAACUCUGUUUUCUUUAAGCUGUGUAGGAAGUUGGGAGUAAAGGUGAUAUGUUUCUAGUCGAAUUAUUCUAUAACCUUUUAAGGUACUAUAUGCAGCACUUUAUAUGGUAUUUUUAUAUUCGGCAUGUGCUGAAAUACUGCUACGCAUAUAAAUUAAAUAAAAAAUUGGACAGUAAUUAAGAAACAUCGGAACGUGUUAAUUACAUCAACAAACAAAACACAAUAAAAUAAAUCUGUAUUGAAGUAGAGUGCACCCCAAAGUCAUUGCAUCUUUGUGUUUUUAAGUACAGGUUAUACUUUUAGAAUAGGUUGCUUACAUAUAUGCAUAGGUAGUAGUCAUAGUAAGAUUUUCAGGUGAAAAGCUUUGUAAGCACAAAUUUUCACAUUCAUACUGUAUUCAAAAUAUAACUAAUCGAACGAACACUAGAUAAGCUUAUCAACAUUUCAUAGAUAAUCGGAAUGGUUUUUUAAUAGUGUGUUUAUAUAACUUUCUCAGUAAAACAAAUAUAUUUCGCAUACCUAAACUUAUCUCUAAAACCUCUACUUUAAUUCAAAAUUGAGCAUUACUGAAUUUUAAAAAAAUACAUAGGCAAUUUAUUUAGCACUGCCCGUUUCAUCAAAAAAAAAUCUCCAUCACUCAAAUCAGUGUUAUAGUUUACUUCUGAAAAGUAUAGGGUGAGCCAUAUAAAAUUUUAAAUUUUGAAGAUAGGGCGUAAAAGAUUGAGUGUAGCGUUUGCUGUAUGGCACGUAGCGCCGUCCUGCUGGAACCAAAUGUUGUCCAAGUCUUCCUCUUCAAUUUGCUUGACCAAAAUCCGCACCAUACAGUGAUUCGUCCUGGGUGCAUUGGCUUCUCGACGGUUACGUGCGGGGUUUCUGUGCCCCAAAUGCGACAAUUCUGCUUGUUAACUAACCAUCGAGGUGGAAAUGAGCCUUGUCCGAAAAGAUGAUUUUUCGGUAAAAUUGACCAUCCUCGGUCAAACGAUCUUCUGCCCAAUCUGCGAACUGUAGAUUAGUGAAUAGCGACCCAUUUCGUAAAUUUUAGACUUUUACUGAAUGGUAUUUGACGUUUUCAAUGUCAAAAUAUAGAUAAUUCAAAUUUGAAACGUUAGAUAGCUCACCCUAUAUUAAACUAAUAAAAUAUAACGCAUUUGGUCUUAUUGAUAAUUUAGUGGCUUUGUAGUUUGCUGACUUAAGAGGUUAGGGGUAGUCAGAGGCACGAAAAAAUGAGAGUUUUCAGUAUUUUUUUUUUUUUGCCACUAAGUCAUGUUAUUUUACAAAAGUAGUAAUAUGGCAUUAUUAUAGGAUGUGUUCACUUGAAGCCACAAAAAUUUCAAAACAAAAAAAUUUAAUUUCCAAAGUUAUAGUUGUUCGUGUUAACCCUGUUCCAAAAAAAGGUACUUCCUGUGACAAGCAUAAGUCCUUGGAGAUUCAUCUAAAUACAAUCGGACAAAAAAAAAGUUUUAUAAAUAGAUAAUCCCGGGCCUGAUUUUUUUUUUUUUUUUUUAAAUUAACAAAAUGGCGGCCUCCGGAAAUUUUCGAAAAGCUGUAUAAAUUUCAUUAAAAUCUACUGAACGGGUUUCGAGUUACAGUUGUCACUGAUUCAAAAAACAUAGUUUUGAGAAAAACGCGUUUAAAGUUUCACACUAGCGCUUUGAAGUACCCGAGCUCUCUUUCUUAUUUCUCGAAUAACUCAAAAACUAAUUAUCGUAUCAACGUGGAAUUUUCAGGGAAUAUUUUUAAGAUAUUACACUUAACGAAAAUGCAAAAAAAUUAAAUAAAUAAAAAUUAAAUACAUACAUAUAUGUAUAUACAUACAUAUGUAUACAUAUACAAGUAUAUGCAUAUAUAUAUUGUACGUUCAUUUACACAUUUAUUCGUACAUUUAUCAGUAUGAUUCUCUCAUGUUUUGAAGAUUGGCACGUGAGUGGAAUAACUACUUUUCACACUGUCAGCUGUUCUUUUCUUUCUGAUGCUAUUGUUACCUACACUUAUGCCAACAUGUUUUCCAAUCCUCGAAAAAGUUGUUAAAGUGCAAAAAGGUUUCAAUGCGCGUAGCGUUUAAUGCCUUAAAUUGAGUUUGCUGAAUUGCCAGAAGUUACAGGGAGCUAAAUCAGGCGGAUACGGUGGUUGUGAAGAAUCAAUCCUGCAUACGACGGUGCAAAGGACGAUUCUCAAAAACCAAUUCCUUUAUUUUAUUGACGUGUUGAUCAUCAGUUAAUGUGGAUGACCGUCCUAGACGAGGUUCAUGGUCAACUCGUUUUCUAUCCUGUUUGGAUAAGUAGGAGUUAAACCUGCUACAGUAUCCAGAACGAAACUGCGCGUCACUUAUGUUUCUUGCAGAAACUCGAACUCUUUGCCUGCGAUGGGUGGUGGCUUGACUCCGAGUACUUCAUACUGGAAGGGAGUCGGUGAAGGUGAUGGAGUGUUAAGUUCCGUGCAGAGAAGAAGCAAAAAAGGUCGUAGAGAUAGCCGUUUAUAUUAGAAUUUUCUCCUCGAAACAGUAAGGAUGAUUAAUGACCGCUCAGGUAGUUCAUGGUCCACCUCUUCAGUCCUGGGGAGAGUAUAGUUUGUUCCAUGUCCUGCAAUAGCGUUGUGCCACUGACUGUGUCAAAGGCUAUUAACACGUCCAACACUACGAUAAUCGUCCUCUCACAGGGUGGUUUCUGGUUAAGGCCACGAACUAUCUGAGCUCUAGUGGUACUGUGCCCUUUUCGGAAUCCAUGUUUGUGGUUUGAUAGUUAUCGAACGAUAAGAUAAGUUGGCGGGUUUCCUACGUUUCAGUUGUGGGACCACACUUCCGACUUUCCGAACUAUGUGCACGUUGCAGCCGUAGAUGCUAAGGUGGCAGUGCGUUAGCAUCAUGGGGCCACGUACGUUGUGAUCCACUCCCUGUGUAUCUUAAGGACUGAACGGGGUUUAAGAUGGCUCCAAAAUCGUCCGGACUUGGGUUGGACUCAAUACCAGCACGAGUCAGGAGGAUACGGAGCAACUCAAGUUACAGCUCGCAAGGACGGACGGGCAGACAGACAGUCAAGCGGAACCGGUUUUCAGUCGAUCGAAGAGAUAAAACCAAAUUCCCUGAAGGAGCUAAAGCCCAUCUCAAAAAGUACUUAUAAAAAGUGUUUCGAGGACUCGAAAAAUCGUUUGCAUCUGGUGGAGAUUACUUUGAAUUAAAUAUUUAAAGUUUUAUUUACCAUUUCCGUUUUUUUUUUCACAAUACAUAAAUACAAUGAAACUGAAGGUUCCGAAAUAUUUAAAUUGAUUAAUAUUAGCAAACUCCCAACUGCAAGUGCUAAUCUCAAAUUUAAUACGUGUUUAAUAUUAUUUGAAAAUUUUUAAAUUAAAUAUAGUUAUAUUUAUAUUAACUACUUCAAUGCGAGACAAAAACUUCUUACUUUCAUCCAAAACAUGAAAUUUGAUCGACCAAAAAACAACUACUGCCCAAUAAAAUCAAGUUUUUUAAGCUUUGCUUUUUAACUCAGUGUUGGUCAGCUGUGCUGCAAUCAGGGGUCCCUAUCGUGGAUUGCGUACUUCGUAUCGAUUACUACGUAGAAAAGCAAAGGUAUUUGGAGAUUCUUUUGUUAGCAGUUAGCAGCAGCAUUCAUUGUUAUAUGACGCGUCCGAUGUAAUAUGCAUGGUAUUGUUCAUGAAAUUUAUUAUUUAUCCGUAUGGCAGUGAAGUUUGAUGCAUACCUUAGUUUGUUUGUUUGUAAUAACAGUAGAAAUAACUGAAUGUCAUCCAUUGACAGUGGACCUCAAAUUAUCUUGAUAUUCCCCCGAAUAAUGUUUUUAAAAUGUAUGUAAUUUUGUUCAACUACUACUAUUUAUUGCAAUUAUUGAAUUAUAAUGCAAUACGCGUGAACAGACGAACUAUUUUUAUAAUAUCUGUAAAACAAAUUUUAAUCCAAAAGGAACGCAAUCAGUCCGUACUUGUCGCCAUGGUCGGAGUUACUCCAAUAUCGGUUUAUGCAAAUUUCAAGAAUACUUGACACCCGACUGCGUCCGAUCCAAGUUCGUCCUUACUCGUUGUGCAACUGAUUUUAUUUUAUAACAUGAUGACGUUUAUGUACCAACUCCUUCAUCUUUUUCAUCGGGCGAUCUCCAUUUUUUACAAGACGAUGCCCCGCCUCUUGUUUCACAUCUAAACGACCACGGAUGAAAAUGCAAUUGGUGGCCAUUUGGCCGACAUUUUGUUCAAAUAAUAAAUGAUAUUAAAUUUAUCUGCAUAGCAAAAAAAAAACAUAACCCAUUUUAACCAAA
Molecule: long non-coding RNA, 5516 nt
Organism: Bactrocera dorsalis (oriental fruit fly)
Lineage: Eukaryota; Metazoa; Arthropoda; Insecta; Diptera; Tephritidae
Exons: 2
Source: RefSeq, a predicted model, not a curated record